UACGUAGGGGCAAGCGUUGUCCGGAAUGAUUGGGCGUAAAGGGCGCGUAGGCGGCUCUGUAAGUCUGGGGUGAAAGUCCUCUUUUCAAGGGAGGAAUUGCUUUGGAAACUAUAGAGCUUGAGUGCAGGAGAGGUUAUCGGAAUUCCCGGUGUAUCGGUGAAAUGCGUAGAUAUCGGGAGGAACAUCGGUGGCGAAGGCGGGUAACUGGACUGCAACUGACGCUGAGGCGCGAAAGUGUGGGGAGCAAACAGGAUUAGAUACCCGCGUAGUCCCUGAG
Molecule: ribosomal RNA, 277 nt
Filed under: uncultured prokaryote
Description: partial 16S ribosomal RNA
Rfam family: Bacterial small subunit ribosomal RNA
Source: RNAcentral